CCUACGGGAGGCAGCAGUAGGGAAUUUUCCACAAUGGACGAAAGUCUGAUGGAGCAACGCCGCGUGAACGAUGAAGGUCUUCGGAUUGUAAAGUUCUGUUGUUAGGGACGAAUAAGUACCGUUCGAAUAGGGCGGUACCUUGACGGUACCUGACGAGAAAGCCACGGCUAACUACGUGCCAGCAGCCGCGGUAAU
This 195-nucleotide ribosomal RNA is filed under the name uncultured bacterium. RNAcentral describes it as "partial 16S ribosomal RNA". It matches the Rfam family "Bacterial small subunit ribosomal RNA", at positions 338 to 524 of the family's 1533-position model. The record is from RNAcentral.